UGGGGAAUAUUGGCACAAUGGGCGCAAGCCUGAUGCAGCCAUGCCGCGUGUGUGAAGAAGGCCUUCGGGUUGUAAAGCACUUUCAGCGAGGAGGAAGGUGGUGGACUUAAUACGUUCAUCAAUUGACGUUACUCGCAGAAGAAGCACCGGCUAACUCCGUGCCAGCAGCCGCGGUAAUACGGAGGGUGCAAGCGUUAAUCGGAAUUACUGGGCGUAAAGCGCACGCAGGCGGUUUGUUAAGUCAGAUGUGAAAUCCCCGGGCUCAACCUGGGAACUGCAUUUGAAAACUGGCAAGCUAGAGUCUCGUAGAGGGGGGCUAGAAUUCCAGGUGUAGCGGUGAAAUGCGUAGAGAUCUGGAGGAAUACCGGUGGCGAAAGGCGGCCCCCCUGGANGAAGACUGACGCUCAGGUGCG
This 413-nucleotide ribosomal RNA is filed under the name uncultured bacterium. RNAcentral's name for it is "partial 16S ribosomal RNA". It matches the Rfam family "Bacterial small subunit ribosomal RNA", at positions 355 to 755 of the family's 1533-position model. The record is from RNAcentral.